CCGACCUUAGCUCAGUUGGUAGAGCGGAAGACUGUAGUUGUUGCUGUAAUCUUUAGGUCGCUGGUUCGAUUCCGGCAGGUCGGA
Arabis alpina (gray rockcress) is the source of this 84-nucleotide transfer RNA. It matches the Rfam family "tRNA". From Rfam's summary of the family: Transfer RNA (tRNA) molecules are approximately 80 nucleotides in length. Their secondary structure includes four short double-helical elements and three loops (D, anti-codon, and T loops). Lineage: Eukaryota; Viridiplantae; Streptophyta; Magnoliopsida; Brassicales; Brassicaceae. The record is from Rfam.